GACGGGGGUCGGGGCCGAGGAGCGGUGGAACUUCUCAGAAAAAUAGGUGCCCGCCCACGCAGCCUUGGCGCACUCGCGCUCGGCACUUUGGAUUCUGGAGUCCGGUGUGAGCGCCCCGAGCGGCGACCGGGCUUUGGCCGCCCCCGGGCCCAUAGUGGUGGUGGGGGCCGGGGGGGGGUCGUCGGGCGGGAUUUCAGGCAAACGCGUCUCCUUGAAUACCUGGGCGACGUUUGACACUUGUGCACCGAGACCCUUUGCAAAGCCAGAUGAGUCCGACGGGCUCCCGAAACCGAGGUGUGGGUUACAUUUCUGCGGGUGCACCAAUUGCCAUGAGCGCGGCUGCUUAAUGCUUCUGUCAUUGGAAGUCUGGUCUCCAAACCACCGUCUCAAGCCAGCAUGACUCCAGCUGCCUGGAAUUCCAUUCAUCUCUAAGGGCCGGGAUGUCAGCAGCCACACUUCCCCUGCUGUGGCCCUGCGCUGUCAGGCUGGCCCUGAGACACAGGACGCAGGUAUGCCAACCCCGUGGGCAUGACGGAGGCCAUGGAAGUGGAAGAUCCUGUUCUGUUUGGGAUGGGGACUUUACGGGUGUCUUCUUAUCUCGAGUAGGAUGCUGGCCACUGCCCAGGUCUACUCACGUGCACUGGGCUGAAGGGAUCGGUUUCCUCCACUUCCCAGAGUAUCCAUUAGGCACUCAACAAAUGCCAGUUGAACAGAAUAGAAAAGAUUCUUGGUCUAGAAGAACGUAGGGCAUCAGGUUGCUGCAGAGAGGAGAGCCCUAUGCUGACAGACUGCAUUCCAGCAGUUUCCAGGUUUUGGAGGCUGCGCUAUCCACACAUUGUUGAGAUGCUAAGGAGUUCCUAUGGGGAAAAGGUGGCUAGCAUUCAGAUCAUCUUUGAAGCUCAAGGACCCGAUGCCGACAGCCACCCAGCUUCAGUGCACCCUUUGUUUGCUGGUUAUUUCCCAUUUCACUUGGGAUAAAUAGUUAUAAGAACAACUUGAGAGGUAUAUUGGUCUACACAAAACAGGAGAAACAUGGAAUAGUCCCUGGAGAAGUAAACAAGGGAAGUAAGUAUGUGAAAAUUCUUCAUUGAGGGAUGUUUAGAAUGUAUUUUGAGACUUCUGGAAUCUUUGCCUCUGCUCCAUUUUUGUUUUCCUAGCAUCUAGGAGCAUUUCUGAGUACUUCACUAUGAAUGUGCCUACAACCCAUUUUACUGAUGAGGAAAGUGAGGCAGGGAGAAUUGCUCAAACUCAUAUAGAAAAUUUUGGAGCCAGGAUAUACACCCAGACACUCUAGCUCCAGUGUCUACCCUCUAAACAGCUCUAGCUACCCUUCUUAAGGGAUCCUGCAUUUCCCUUCAUGUCCUUUUAAAUGCCUAACUACCAUAUAGCUCCUUUUUAAUGCCUUCUGCCUGAUUCUUUUUUGUUGCCAGUGUAUUUAUUUAUUUUGAGAGAGAAUCCCAAGCAGGCUCUGCACUGUCAGCGCAGAGCUCUACAUGAUGCUUAAUCUCAUGAACUGUAAGAUCAUGACCUGAGCCAAAUCAAGAGUCGAACACUUAACUGACUGAGCUACCCAGGCGCCCCUCCUUCUGCCUGAUUCUUGACCCACUGGGCCAGAAGGUGACUCACUAGAAUUCUCCAUGAAACAUUUCCAAGGAGUAGAGGCACCCCCAGAAGAAGGGGAUCUUUGUCCUCCUCCCUGGCAUGGUAGUGAGCCACAGGGGCCAUGAGAUUGGUGGGAACCAUCAAUAUAUACAUAAAGGAAAAGCUUACUCAUUGGCUGAGCAUCAGUGAAAGGGUUGGUGUGCUAGUGUCCAAACAAUCCAAAGGCUCUAGAGACAGAGGCAGAGAGGUGGAAUUGAGGUCAGGACUAAAACGGGGGAGGAGCCCUUUUAAAGAGAACAGUGGGUGACUGGGCAGCAGAGGGAAAGAGCACAGACCCCGAGAUCAGGGGACAAAUUCAGAUACAGCUGAUUGCACGCACCCUAUGUGUAUUCGCACGCAAGCCGCUUAACCUCUUCAGCAGUAUAAACAGCUGCCUCACAGCUCUGCUGUUGUAGUAAACGGAGCGAUGUGAAUUACAUGUCUAAUACAGGCUAUGGCCACAGCAGGCUGUCAGUCCAUGGCAGUUUUUGAGAGCCCUUUCUCCCCUUGACCCGCCAACUCAGCCUCCCUUUUUCCUUCUUAGAUCAGGCUGCUGUAGAAGGAUGGAAACUUUCUAGAGUUUGGCUGUUUGCACAUGCUGUUCCAAGUAUGGCAAUGGUUGGGAAAAAGAUCUUGGGGUGGGUUAUUUUUGGUCAUUAGACAUAUCUUGUAACAUUUGAUUUUUCUAGCAAGAAGCCACCUAUGGCUGGUAAUCAAUACAGUCAGCAUGCUUUCCCUUUGUCCAUAAUGUGGCUGAUGCUGAUCUGAAGGAUGGGUCAGAGGGGUGGGGUGGGGUCAGCUUGCUGACUCCUGUACAGCCUGACCCUCCCUCACCAGGGUGCUGGCCACUUUUACCUCUGUCGGUUUAGAGACUUUUGUGGUUUGGGUACUUUUGUUUCUGCAGGAUAAGGGGUUCUGAUUAAUGUCCCUCCAACAAGCUAGUUUGCCUUUUUAUAAAUAAUCUCAGCUUUAUGCUGUUUUGUCCGUAGCUUAAACCUUGUAGGCUCAUCCGUCUGAAUUUGUUCUUCUCCCUGGGGUUUGCCAACAUCUUCAUUUACAAGUCUUCUUCAGAUUUCUUUCAGGGGUCUUUUGUUCUCUUUUCCAUGUUGUUAGCUAGAACGUAAAAUUAAAUCUAAAGUGAGCAAGCACUGACCCCAGGACACCCUGCUGAGCACCUCUUCUGGCAGGAGACUUGCCAGAGUCUCACCUUUCCUUCAUAAUCUUUGGUUAAUAUUCAACCCAUGUGACUUGCUCUCUCUGGCCAUUUGAACCAUGUUAGCAAUUAAAGUUUCGUGAGUUUCUGUGCAAAAUGCCGCAACUCAAGUCCAAAAAUGCAGUGUCUGCUGUGUUUCUUUCCUCCUAUCAUACUUACCCUCCCUAAAACAAAAAAUAAGCUCUCACGUCCUUGUAUGCUUUGUCCUUAAGCAAGCCUUUUUGCUUCUUUCCUGAGGUUUCUACUGUCCUAGAUAUAUUUACAAAUUAUAUCUUUACUUAUGACUGUUGCUAAGUACAGACCUACAGGUGCUGGUUAAUUUCAGGACAAAUGUCCAGGCAUUUUCAGUUUCCACUUCUUUCCACCCCUCUGCUAGCCAAUAAACCCUGAGAAAUAAUGAAACCUUUCAUGGAUUUCUUACCUGGGUCUUUGGACAUCCCAAACUAUUUGUUACCUGGCUCCUUUGAUUUGUAAAUGUUCAGGGUGUCCAACACCUGCUUUUUGUGUUAUUUUCCAUCAGCUCUGUUUGUAGAGUCUUUGAAGUCAUACCAUGGCAUCCAAUUUCUUUUAUGUAGAACAGCCUUUAUCUGAGAGCAGUGAUUUUUAGCUAGCGCUGCACAUUAGAAUCCAAGGGGGAAUCGUUUAAAAAUACAGAUGCCCAGGCAUCCCCUCCCCCCAAGGUAUUCUGAUUUAGUAGGUUUGGGGUGGGCUUUGUCUGUCUUUAUGUGUUUUAAAGCUCCUGAGUUGGUUCUAAAGGCACCCUGGUGUAGAGCCACAUACCAGAGUAAGUCCCAGGUCGGCGGUGUGCACAGCGGCACCCUGGCUGGCUCCAGCUAAACCCUGGGCUCUGGGCCACAGACACCCUGGGCCCUGGCUUCUAUUACCUUACUCUGACUGGAGGAGGGUCGGUCUGAGCUGGAACAUGUAAAAGUGAGGGGUAAACGAGAAAGGAGAGCUGUCCAGGUGGAGAGAAGAGCAGCAUGAUGGGCACAGAGACAGGGAAACAGAAGGUCGGCAGUGGUGGGGGAAGAGCCGGCUGACUUGGGACGGAGCACAGGCUGCCUGGUAGAGAGUACCAGGGAGCAGUGGGGUAGGCCAGCCCUGAGGCGUUGCCAGGCAACAGGCAGCGAAUCCCAGUGACAUCACCUGUGUACAUAAAGCCGAGUCCUAUUUUCUUCUCUUCGUGAUGGCCAAGACCGUCUAUUAGAACACAGGACUUUUUGAAGCAACUGAGAAUGCAUUUUGCUUUGUAUGCUAUUUCUUGGGGUGGGGGGGCUAUAAUACUGACAGCUUCCUCCACACAUUUUGUCCAGAGGCCUGGCUCCUGCUAGGGUGAUGUCCUGGACCUCUGCCCCAGGUCCCCUCUCCCACCUCUUGGCCAAGGUGACCAACAACAGCAAACACAGGUGGGCCUCCCUAUCGGGGUGGGGUUGCUGCCAAUGCCUAUUUUAUUUUAUUUUUGCUGAGAUUUAUAGAUUUCCCUUACAAGAGGAGGAGGGAUACGAUAAGGAACGAAGAGCAGGUUUGUAUUUUAAUUUUUCCCCAAUGCAUACGGACAGGCAUUAUUAUCCACAGUUUAUGGCCAAGAACAUCGAGUUUAAAAGAGGUUAAGUAGCUUGCCUACAGUCACAGGAUAAUGAGUGGUGGAACGAGGGUGGAGAACCAGGUCUCUCUGGCCCCACACCUCUGCUUUUUCCAUUCUACCACUUGUGCCUGUCUGGGUGGAGGAUUGGCCGGGGGCUGUUGAGGCAUCCCCCCGUGAGGUUAAACCUCAUUUGUAUUUUUAAUCAGACACUCGUGUCUUACGGCACGUCUGGGCUCAUUGGAGGCUUUGGGGCAUAUUUGAGGCAGCUUAAGGUGGAUGUAGCGUCUGGGGGAAUUGAUAAUGAGGUUAAGCUGGGAUGGUUACAACUUUGCUUCUUGUGCAGGUUUGCCCAGGGCUGCCACUCAAGCUGAGUUUUCAGCUUUCCUUUGGCACCUGGAACAUCUGCUCUCGCCAGUUCCAUCUUGUCUCCCUGCUUGUGGAGCAGGAGAGGGAAACAGGUGCAGCUCUGAAGAUACUCUUGAGUUGUUUCAGGUGAUCCUUUUUCUCAGGAUGUUUUUGGCUGGUAUUUCCCUUUCUUGGGAUUCCUGGGAACAUCUAAGGGAUGGAUGAGCCUACAGGACUGCUGUGUCUGGCGGUGGCGUUCUGUAUGCCAGGUUUGGAGGGCAAUCUCCUAACAAAUCUCUGAGCUGCUAGAAUAUAGUUUCCGUGAGGGCAGAGUCUGGGUCUCCAUAUCCUUAGCACCGAGCAGAGUGCCUGACCUAGAGUGAGAGCUUUAGAAAUAGGUGUUGAAUAAACAUAGGUGCUCCUGUUCCACGUGGAAUUUUCUUUAAUUGAUGGCCCUGCAGCAAAGAGAUUUCCCCAGGUCUAUGAAUGGAGAGGAAUGAAGUCCUCUGUACUACCCUUAUUUUUCAGUUGGUUUGCUUGUUUCGUCAUGCAGUUACUUUAGGAUCCCUUCAUCCCUUUUAGUUCUUUAACCAGUUCCCCUGGGCAUGGUCCUGCCUUUUAAUCACACUACAGAGAACAAUCUGGUGAAGAGGGAAGGAAAGACUGUCAGCACGACCUUGGCCACUUACUGAGAAUACCAAAUCGUGGGCUCCGUUUGCUUUGAGGGACCCCUCAUCCACGGCCAGCCCAGGACCUCCUUGGUUAGAAAGGACAAGGAGGGCAGCAACAGGGCCUGAUGCUUCUCACUAAAGGGAGGGCACAAAGAAGACGCACAAAGGGCUCUUCUCUCCUUGGAGCACGAAUGGAGUCUCCUCCUUCCUCAGAAUAGGCUGUCUUCAUGGGAAUUUGGAGUAGUGGUUAGGGAUGAUGUGUCUGCCUUAAAUCUCACUCCUUAAAACCUUCAAAUUAUGCAUUCAGGUGCAAUGCAAUAACUUGCAAAUUAUGCAUUCAGGUGCAUUCAAUUGAACUAUCUUGAGGGUGGGGGUAAAGAACUGGGAAAAUGAGAAUGUUUGAUUUUUAUUCAGACCUAGAAAAUGUCAGGGGAUUGGCCGUGGAAUGGGGUCAGAUUCUCUGAACGGCCCUGUUGUGGAUGGGCUCUACAAAGUGAGACACUAUGCCCAGCGGAUGAUUUGAACAUGAAACAUAACUUCCCAUCACUAUUAGUUGAUCCAAAUAUAAAAUCGUAUUUUUAAAAAGCAUUCCCUCCCCCCUUAGUAUUAGGGCUGGGUCACUCCUUCCUAUUGCCUAGAAAUUCUUGGUGCUGUCAUCUGAGUGAAUUUCUUUUACUGGAAUUCUUUUCCUCUAAUGCUUGUGAUAAAGGCCUGAGGAUUAUAAGGUUUUGAGGUGGGAAUGAUCAAGCAAAUUCCUUCUCCCUGAAUUGUCGAAGUAAGCCAAAGAAACCAGACAUCUUCAAGAGUUAAGUUGUUAACUAAGAAAAACCAAGCAAAUCAAAGCAAACCAAGGGAAAGCAAAGGAAAGCAGACUAAAACCACCCAUCUCCAAGAUACUUCCCCACCGUGGAAUGGCAUUCCAGAUGGCCGUAAGGUACCUUCAAAUUUUAAAUUAAUACUAAAUUCCACUCUACAUCAAGCUUGCCAAGCAGUCAUUUAUGCCAUUCUUGAAAUAUCCAGUGCUGGAGAUCUCACUGUAUUUUAUUUUAUCUAAAAGUCAGUCUGGCUGUGAGAUAGAAUUUUACCCAAACAAAAUUUGACUGUGUUCUUGGAUUUUCCUCAUACAUGCACCAUGGGGUCAUCUAAUUUCUCUUACACUUUAUAGUUCUUUAAGGGAUAUGUUUAUGAACCAUUUAUAAUUCUAUAGUUCUGCAUUCCACUGUUUUCACUUAAAUUAUAUUGUGAACAUUUUCCCACAUCACUACAUGUGUUUCAAAAAUAUGAAUUGUAAUGGCUACAAAGGAUUCUCUAUCAUUAUUUUAGUUAUCCCCUCUUAUUGAACGUUUAGGUGUUUUAUAGUUUUUAUAAUGUCACAACAGCAAACUCAACUCUGCUUUCACCUCUCAUUAUUUACUUAAACUAUCUUGAAUGUGAGACUAUGGGGUCAACGUGUGUGAAUGCUUUUAAGGAUUUGUGUGCGUAUUGUGUUUCGGAUCAUGCUCCAAAUAAAUAGACUCUGAGCUAGAGAUUUGUGUGUAGGAAAUUUACUAGGGAGUGCCCUCAACAUCUGUGAGACAGUGAGGGGAGAAGUUGGAUAGAGGAAGAAGUUGAACUAUGGUGUAUUAUAAUAAUGACUUCAGCUGAUCCUGGGGAGAUCUGGAGUUUAGAGGUCCCUUUAGAAUUGUCCCAAACUGAGGCAAAGGGGCUGAGCCUUUGAGGCCUGACCACUCAUUGGUUGCAGGUGCCUCUUGUAAAGAGGGAGCAGGUACAACCUUAGAUGAGGUAUCUCCUUUUAGCCAAGGGCAAUUCCUAGAGAAGGACUCAACUACUAACAUUCAGCAGCUAAUGGUCCUGGCAACUGGGGGAAUAAUUGCUCAGAACUGAAGAGGAGAAUCAGGUAAUGUAUCACAGCAUCCACUGAAGUGGAUAACCCUUGCAUCUCUUGAAGUCACUGGUUUCUUAUAAAAAAUCCAUUCUAUCUGGGAACAGAUCCUCUAGAAUUAUGGUCAAUCUCUUUUCCUAGGGAGAUGUGCAAAAGGAAAUUUAAUGGGAGAAAUUAUAGUGCUCAUUGAUGCAUCUGUUCUCAGGCAUACCUGACACUCAUCAAAUCCUUCCUCUACAACCCAUUGUAGACUUACUCCCCCUUUAGCUAGAACUUUGGCUGAUCCAAAGGGUUACCUGGUGGGUGACCCAGACCUUCAUCCUUGAAAGAGAUGAUCAUCAAGCUCUGGUCAUCAAGCUCUUCUCAAGCCGUGACUCCUGCUUUUAUCUAUUUAUCAUUGAAGUUGGUUAGGGGAUUACCAAGAGAGGCCCCAGAGGUCCUUCUCAUUGCCAAACAUAGUCUUCUCUACCCUCAUUGUGCAAAAACAGUCCAUCUUCCUUCUGAUGACCAUGGUCAGUUGCCUCUGCAAGGGUGAUAAUGUCUUUCCUUGCCUGUUGAUUUCUUUUUUUAAAAAAAAAUUUUUUUUCCAACAUUUAUUUAUUUUUGGGAC
This is a long non-coding RNA of Felis catus (domestic cat), 7947 nucleotides long. RefSeq lists it as uncharacterized. The record is from RefSeq and is a predicted model, not a curated record. NCBI's taxonomy places the organism in Eukaryota, Metazoa, Chordata, Mammalia, Carnivora, Felidae. The transcript has 6 exons.